CCUGCAUGAUGGACGUGACAGGGAGGACGAGCCACCUUUGAUUGAUGACCGGAAUUGAAUGAUUGCAAGUGCUUGCACUUUAUUGUACAUGAUAAAAGCUGGCGAGCAGGGGCGAAGAAUCUACUUGGAGAGAAGACGUCCAGAUGUGAGAGCCGAUGUUCUGCGAUAUUUUGCAUAUAAAGAGAUCUUGAACCUUGUGGUUCUCUGAGCUGAUAUUCUGCGAAAUUUCCGCUAGUAAGGACAACGUAAACCUUGUGUUUCUCUGAGCUGACACUUUGGUAUUAAUCGAUAUGAAAAGAGGUUUUGAGCCUUGCCUUUUUCCGAUGGAUCAUGAUUCAAAUUCUUCUAGGCCACCAAAAACUCCGGGGGUGUUGUACUUUAACCAUUUCCCGAAGAACUUUCUACGGCCUUACGGCCGGGCAGAAGGUAUGCCCUCGAAGGAGAAGACCCUCUCCCGGCUUCAACCGGAGGGAUGCGAAUGGCUAAGGCGUCCGCACGUUGCAGUUUCUGAGCUGGCUGCAACAAUGCAGGGGAACACCGAUCUUUUGAAAGAAAAGGCAGAUUUUUUUACCACGAAGAGGUUGGCAAGUUUUUUAAAAAAUAUUCAGCCUUUUGUAACACAACUCGCGCCAUUUAAUAAAGACAGUCCAAUGAAUCCAAGCGAAAACCAAUGCAGGGACCUCCUGAAAGCGAUGCUUUCUACAUCAGCUCAACUGGACAAACAGUUGGAUACUGCUCUUGAAGUUGGAUGUGCCCUCUUUAUCUUGGCAAUCCAAUUCAAGGUUGCACAAGUACUCAUAUCCAACCCUGUUGACUACGCUAAUAAAAUGACCUUACAUCCAAACCCUGAGCCAGCUUUCAAAUAUUCAAACAAUCUGUUACAUCUUAUUCCACUCCUCCGCCAGUAUUCUUCCAUUUCGCAACCAACUCCACCCGUUUCAAGUCUAAUUGAAACACUACUCGAUGAACUAUCUUCAUCAUCUUCGUCCUCACCUUCAUCAACCAUCACAAAGCCAAAAAAGUCAAAGAAAAAGAAGAAGAAAAGAUCAUACUCUUCAGAAACCGAUGACGAACCUCCAAAGAAAAUUAAAAUAAAAAAAGAAAGGAACUGAACGCUUCACUUGAAUUUCAGUAUUCGCGAUUUCAAUUCUUCCGGGUUUCGGAGUUGCGACAAAAGGUGGCCUACGCCAUUGGUAUACACUUUAGCGUAGGAUUGGCUUAAUAAUGUUUUCUCGAAUUUGAAUGAUGUUACGUAUUUUCCUUUGAACAUUAACACUGAAAGAGGAUUCAGAUCUGAACUUUGGUAAGCCAUUGUUACGUCAACAGAUAGGCCAAUCCUUACCAAAAUUACUCCAAUGCCGUAGACCAAGUCUUGUCACAACCAAUGGUAUUUACUUUGUUCAGGUUGCCUAAUUUUAAGGCUGUAUUGGUGUCUGAAAACAUUGGGGAGAAGUUUCUGUCAAGCUUUUCAUGAAUUAGUUUCCGUUGAGCCAUUCUGAAAGUAUCUAAUUCAAAAUUCGCGGUCAUUCAGAAGUAUGCCUACUGCGCAGUUGUAUCAUCUUUAGAUAUAUCCAACCGCUUAUCAUGAAUAAAGACAGAAAGGAAAAUUAAGGGGCUAAACAGGAAUCCUAAAUAAUAUAUUUUAGAUUGACGGCCUUUCCCAAUUUAUAUCGCAUUUUAUAAAGACCAUUCCAGUUACGUUAACGAACAAAAUUUCGUUUCUUAUUCCAGACAAAUUUAGGACAAAUAAACGAGACAAAGUUCGGUCACGACGAAAUUUUUUGCCUUCUAAAAUAUUGAUAAUUCGGAAAUAGAAUUAUAAUAUUAUGUCAGACAUGAAUUUUAUAAUAAUCGUUUUAUAUACUAAUUAAGUUAAUGUUGGCUAAAUUUUUAAGCUUGUUUACAUUAAAUUUUGAGCUUUAUAAUGAGGAGUUAACCGAGUGGCAUUUUCUUUUCUUGCUGUACUUUCUUAACUUUUCAUUGUUGCGUUGGUUUGACUUUUUAGAUGUUUUUAAGAUUUGCGUUUAUUGCUAGGGGUGGCGCUAGAAAAUAUUCUUAGGGGGUACCUAGUGCUGUGUUGCUGAGUAGGGAUUCUUAAUUUACAUCAAACGAAGGCAUUCUCCAGGUCUUGAGCUGAAGCGAUUUUUUCCCAUUUAUUACUUAGGAAAUUAUUUAUUCAUCUCGAUGACGUCAUGAAAGAUCCAAUAUUGUUGUUUGAAAUCAAUUUUGAAUAUAUUUAAUGAUUUUUGAAACCCCCUCCAUUUAAUCCCAACCGUACUUAUCGUAUUUUAUCUCGCGAUUUUGUGGUAAUAGCAUAUAUGCUUUCAUUUCACAACAUAUAAUCUCAGCGAUGAAAUAGUAAGGUUGCAACAGUGCGCAAGGCCGUAUGCCAAGAACUUUCAGAAUUGAGGCAUUCGUCAAAGUCGUCCAGGGAUAGGGAUAGGGUUAAGGAAAGGCUUUCUUCUGAUAUAGUGACUAUUAUCUAGAACACCACAACACUUGCGUCAUUUAAUCUCUGAACUAUUUUCUCUCAGGCAGCAUAUGCCUUUUGCAAGGUUGGCAAAUAUAUAAGGGCUAAAAAAGAAGAGCUAAAGAUAUAAGAGCUAAAGUGGCCAGUUUUUCAUGAUUUUCUAAAAGAGUAUGGGCGGGCAUUUCAUCACAUACUGGCUGUUUUUCAAUGCCCAAUUACAAAGUAAAUUAACCCACCAAAAGCAAGAGACAUUUUUUCAAUAUCUGAGGAUACCUAAUACGAAAGUUAAUUGAUGCCUUAGCAAUUUAGUGGAGGGAGGAGGCUCAUUUUGAGAUUGGUGACUUGCCAGCCAUAAAGAAUAGCGUCUUUUCGUGAUUUCCAUAUCAACACGGGUAUUUUCCGAUGAUUAGUAUAUAUAAACGGCUCAUUUUCUCGAAACUGGUAUAAAUAAGGAUCAUGAAUUCUCGAUAUAUGUUUUAAAUUUUAUAAACAAUGGAAUUAGUUUGGUUGAGAAUAAACAACUCAACAAAUACCUAUGGUAUGCAUUAAAUCUCACCCUGGGUUGUCUUGAUCAAAUUACAAAGUCAUGCUCAAGUCAAUAAGUGAGGUAUCAUGUCACAAAAGUUUGAAAGUUAUGGCCCAAUAGAGAUUUUAAUUGGAUUUUAAAAUUUUAUCCUAUUUUACAUAUGACAAGUUUUGCACCAUUUGAUCGAAAGUCAGACCAUUGCAAAACGAACCACUUGCCGAUUCUUCACCUCAAAUGUUUGGGUUUUGUUUACUAACAUACAUUAAUUCACAUUAUCAAGAUUUGGUAAUUGAACAUCAUGAAAGAAAACAAUUAUAGUUUAAAGGCUGUACACGAAAUCGAAAGACCAUUUGGAGGGAAACCCAUUGCCUCUGUUCUAAGGACAAAUUUCUUAAAAGUAUUAG
Molecule: non-coding RNA, 3400 nt
Organism: Rhopilema esculentum
Lineage: Eukaryota; Metazoa; Cnidaria; Scyphozoa; Rhizostomeae; Rhizostomatidae
Source: RefSeq, a predicted model, not a curated record